Non-coding RNA from Camellia sinensis, 248 nucleotides. The record is from RefSeq and is a predicted model, not a curated record. NCBI's taxonomy places the organism in Eukaryota, Viridiplantae, Streptophyta, Magnoliopsida, Ericales, Theaceae.
AGAGAAGUAAGAAGAAGAAAGAAAAAAAAAAAGAGAAAAAGAAGGAAUUCUUGAAGGUGAAGAAGCAGCUUACGACGGGGAGGGUUAUUCCGAAGACAAUCAAGAUGAAGUUUUAGAGCCGUGGUUCACUUGAAAAAUUUGAACUAGUAGUUUGUUUUUUUGUUUUCUCUCUCUUUUUACCUUUUGGUUUGACAGUGUUUUGUAAACCUCUAGUGGAACUCAAAUCAGUUAUCUAUGUUAUAACUCUA